UACAGAGGGGGCAAGCGUUAUUCGGAAUUAUUGGGCGUAAAGGGCGCGUAGGCGGCUUGGCAAGUGGAUGGUGAAAUCCCUCGGCUUAACCGAGGAACUGCCAUCCAGACUGCUUUGCUUGAGGCCGGGGAGAGGUGAGUGGAAUUCCCAGUGUAGCGGUGAAAUGCGUAGAUAUUGGGAGGAACACCAGUGGCGAAGGCGGCUCACUGGACCGGAACUGACGCUGAGGCGCGACAGCGUGGGGGAGCAAACGAG
RNAcentral lists this ribosomal RNA (255 nucleotides) under uncultured bacterium. Its description in RNAcentral is "partial 16S ribosomal RNA". It matches the Rfam family "Bacterial small subunit ribosomal RNA", at positions 524 to 776 of the family's 1533-position model. The record is from RNAcentral.